Molecule: long non-coding RNA, 284 nt
Filed under: Musa acuminata (dwarf banana)
Lineage: Eukaryota; Viridiplantae; Streptophyta; Magnoliopsida; Zingiberales; Musaceae
Description: long non-coding RNA (MACU_LNC005533)
Source: RNAcentral
CUGCCGCUAGACUUGACAGGGCUUCUACUUACACUUCUAGCCCUCACUGGACUCCUACUAGGGCUUCUCCUCUGCAGUGACCUUCCUGAACUUCGACUAAUGCUUCUUCUUUUUUCCUUGACUGGACUUCUACUGAGGCUUAUUCGAGUAGGAGCCUUCUCCAGGCUCCCACUAGGAAUUCUCUCCUGCAGAGACCUUACAGAGCUUCCACUUACACUUCUGCUGUGAACUUUAACUGGGCUUUUGGCUUUGCUUCUCUCAGUCUGGCCAACAGGACUUAUACU